Small nucleolar RNA from Malania oleifera, 105 nucleotides. Lineage: Eukaryota; Viridiplantae; Streptophyta; Magnoliopsida; Santalales; Ximeniaceae. The record is from RefSeq and is a predicted model, not a curated record.
ACUUGGUGACGUGGUCAUUUAUGCAAAAGGUCUUUAAAGCACUCCUAUGUCUCAAAAAUUGCUCACCAUCUAUCUGUGAGAAAAUGGUGAUUGCCUUCCUAAUCU